AAUGAAUUGCCCGAUAAAAGGAUUACCUUGAUAGGGUAAAAUAUAUAGUUAGUACUAUAUUCAUUA
This 66-nucleotide transfer RNA is filed under the name Cylindrotoma sp. ZK-2016. RNAcentral describes it as "tRNA-Ile". Lineage: Eukaryota; Metazoa; Arthropoda; Insecta; Diptera; Cylindrotomidae. The record is from RNAcentral.